UGAAUCUAUCAAAGCGUGCUUGUUUAUGCACAGCGGUACCACUCGGUAUCACGCCGCCAUCAGACGAGGUGGAAGUGAUUCACGGGGUGAGAAGUGCAACGACAGUUUGAAACUAUGCCAACAUACAGAACAUUCACACGGGUGCAAUGGCGUAGCCGAGGGGAGAUUUUAGGGGUAUGAUCCUCCCCACAUAUCUGAAUGUGUUUCGAUGUAGACGAUUCAUGACUACGCCUCUGUAUGGAAACAAAUUGAAAAAGAAGCUGUUUAUGGCAAAAAUAGCGGUCACAGAUCGGUGUGUCUAUUCGAUGACAUUAAGCAAUACUCGUGAGUUCUAUCAACCGUGAAGAUCACUUUGGAUGACGUGAAAUUCUGAAUGGAAUGAUUAAUACGAUUACGUAUAAGAUUCUGUUCUACUGACGAUACCUCUCAUCGAUUAAAAUAGAUUAUAUAGGGGAAGCCUCUAGAUAUUUCCAAUCGGAAUUUCAGAUAGAAUAUUGUUCAAGUCUUAAUGUUAGUAGCUGGACAGUAGACGUAUCCACGUAAGUGUCCUAUAUAUUAGGAAUCGUAAUGAAAUUGUCUCUGCUGCCACUAAACAUCAGCUGCAAUCACUAUUGUGGAUGAUGACGCUGGUGUAUUCCGAAGGAACCGAAAGAGACAAACCCAAAAAUCUCCAAUCAGUGUCUGCCGAUGGAAGUGGAGGGUAAUUUUAACUGGUGAUGCGAUUUCUGGACUGAUCUCACGCAGAUUUCAAUGGAACCUACAUGAAGACUUUGUAACAAAAACCAAUACAUUUUUUCCAAAAAUAAUCUAGACCGUCUUUUGAAAAGAGCCAAUGUUUUUUACUAAUUUGAAUAUAAACGUGUGACAAUCGCUUGAACAUUUCGUAUGAUGUCGAAGUAAGUUCCACUUUAGAGUUUUUCGUCAUUAUUUACCGUACUUACAGAGCCGGUAUUCAGGAACCAGCGUAAUCCAAAACGAU
Long non-coding RNA from Malaya genurostris, 979 nucleotides. RefSeq lists it as uncharacterized. The record is from RefSeq and is a predicted model, not a curated record. Lineage: Eukaryota; Metazoa; Arthropoda; Insecta; Diptera; Culicidae. The transcript is spliced from 3 exons.